AUGAGUGGCGAACGGGUGAGUAACACGUGAGUAACCUUCCCUUGACUCUGGGAUAAGCCCGGGAAACUGGGUCUAAUACCGGAUACGACCUCCUAUCGCAUGGUGGGGGGUGGAAAGAUUUAUCGGUUUUGGAUGGACUCGCGGCCUAUCAGCUUGUUGGUGAGGUAAUGGCUCACCAAGGCGACGACGGGUAGCCGGCCUGAGAGGGUGACCGGCCACACUGGGACUGAGACACGGCCCAGACUCCUACGGGAGGCAGCAGUGGGGAAUAUUGCACAAUGGGCGCAAGCCUGAUGCAGCGACGCCGCGUGAGGGAUGACGGCCUUCGGGUUGUAAACCUCUUUCAGUAGGGAAGAAGCUUUCGGGUGACGGUACCUGCAGAAGAAGCGCCGGCUAACUACGUGCCAGCAGCCGCGGUAAUACGUAGGGCGCGAGCGUUAUCCGGAAUUAUUGGGCGUAAAGAGCUCGUAGGCGGUUUGUCGCGUCUGCCGUGAAAGUCCGGGGCUUAACCCCGGAUCUGCGGUGGGUACGGGCAGACUAGAGUGCAGUAGGGGAGACCGGAAUUCCUGGUGUAGCGGUGAAAUGCGCAGAUAUCAGGAGGAACACCGAUGGCGAAGGCAGGUCUCUGGGCUGUUACUGACGCUGAGGAGCGAAAGCAUGGGGAGCGAACAGGAUUAGAUACCCUGGUAGUCCAUGCCGUAAACGUUGGGCACUAGGUGUGGGGGACAUUCCACGUUUUCCGCGCCGCAGCUAACGCAUUAAGUG
Molecule: ribosomal RNA, 765 nt
Filed under: Citricoccus sp. MJ102
Lineage: Bacteria; Bacillati; Actinomycetota; Actinomycetes; Micrococcales; Micrococcaceae
Description: bacterial SSU rRNA
Rfam family: Bacterial small subunit ribosomal RNA
Source: RNAcentral